RNAcentral lists this small nuclear RNA (107 nucleotides) under Physeter macrocephalus (sperm whale). Lineage: Eukaryota; Metazoa; Chordata; Mammalia; Artiodactyla; Physeteridae. The record is from RNAcentral.
GUGCUUGCUUCAGUAGCACAUAUACUAAAAUUGGAAUGAUACAGAGAAUAUUAGCUCGGCCCCUGCGCAAGGAUGACACGCAAAUUCAUGAAGCGUUCCAUACUUUU